Molecule: ribosomal RNA, 610 nt
Filed under: Escherichia coli
Lineage: Bacteria; Pseudomonadati; Pseudomonadota; Gammaproteobacteria; Enterobacterales; Enterobacteriaceae
Description: partial 23S ribosomal RNA
Rfam family: Bacterial large subunit ribosomal RNA
Source: RNAcentral
CUUUUAUGGGGUGACUGCGUACCUUUUGUAUAAUGGGUCAGCGACUUAUAUUCUGUAGCAAGGUUAACCGAAUAGGGGAGCCGAAGGGAAACCGAGUCUUAACUGGGCGUUAAGUUGCAGGGUAUAGACCCGAAACCCGGUGAUCUAGCCAUGGGCAGGUUGAAGGUUGGGUAACACUAACUGGAGGACCGAACCGACUAAUGUUGAAAAAUUAGCGGAUGACUUGUGGCUGGGGGUGAAAGGCCAAUCAAACCGGGAGAUAGCUGGUUCUCCCCGAAAGCUAUUUAGGUAGCGCCUCGUGAAUUCAUCUCCGGGGGUAGAGCACUGUUUCGGCAAGGGGGUCAUCCCGACUUACCAACCCGAUGCAAACUGCGAAUACCGGAGAAUGUUAUCACGGGAGACACACGGCGGGUGCUAACGUCCGUCGUGAAGAGGGAAACAACCCAGACCGCCAGCUAAGGUCCCAAAGUCAUGGUUAAGUGGGAAACGAUGUGGGAAGGCCCAGACAGCCAGGAUGUUGGCUUAGAAGCAGCCAUCAUUUAAAGAAAGCGUAAUAGCUCACUGGUCGAGUCGGCCUGCGCGGAAGAUGUAACGGGGCUAAACCAUGCAC